This 200-nucleotide long non-coding RNA is filed under the name Elaeis guineensis (African oil palm). RNAcentral describes it as "long non-coding RNA (EGUI_LNC003328)". The record is from RNAcentral. Lineage: Eukaryota; Viridiplantae; Streptophyta; Magnoliopsida; Arecales; Arecaceae.
CGAUAUUUUCAUAAUAUUUUAUUAAAAAUAUAUUAUUUAAAAAAAAUCCUACCAUCUAGUGUUCCUUCUCCUCUUUAUUUGAUACUACCAGUGGUAUUACAAUAUCCCUAUACAUCCACAGCCCCCUGCCGGCUUCACCAUGAUCAUAAUUUCACCAACUACUUUUUUUUUUUUUUUAAUAUAAACGGAAGAUUACACCA